GAUGAACGCUGGCGGCGUGCCUAAUACAUGCAAGUCGAGCGAACGGACGAGAAGCUUGCUUUUCUGAUGUUAGCGGCGGACGGGUGAGUAACACGUGGAUAACCUACCUAUAAGACUGGGAUAACUUCGGGAAACCGGAGCUAAUACCGGAUAAUAUUUUGAACCGCAUGGUUCAAAAGUGAAAGACGGUCUUGCUGUCACUUAUAGAUGGAUCCGCGCUGCAUUAGCUAGUUGGUAAGGUAACGGCUUACCAAGGCAACGAUGCAUAGCCGACCUGAGAGGGUGAUCGGCCACACUGGAACUGAGACACGGUCCAGACUCCUACGGGAGGCAGCUGUAGGGAAUCUUCCGCAAUGGGCGAAAGCCUGACGGAGCAACGCCGCGUGAGUGAUGAAGGUCUUCGGAUCGUAAAACUCUGUUAUUAGGGAAGAACAUAUGUGUAAGUAACUGUGCACAUCUUGACGGUACCUAAUCAGAAAGCCACGGCUAACUACGUG
Molecule: ribosomal RNA, 497 nt
Filed under: uncultured bacterium
Lineage: Bacteria
Description: partial 16S ribosomal RNA
Rfam family: Bacterial small subunit ribosomal RNA
Source: RNAcentral